This 376-nucleotide ribosomal RNA is filed under the name uncultured bacterium. RNAcentral describes it as "bacterial SSU rRNA". It matches the Rfam family "Bacterial small subunit ribosomal RNA", at positions 521 to 896 of the family's 1533-position model. The record is from RNAcentral.
UAAGACGAACCGUGCGAACGUUGUUCGGAUUCACUGGGCUUAAAGGGCGCGUAGGCGGACGGUCAAGUCAGGGGUGAAAUCUUUCAGCUUAACUGGAAACGUGCCUCUGAUACUGAUCGUCUCGAGGGAGGCAGGGGCAUGCGGAACUUCCGGUGGAGCGGUGAAAUGCGUAGAUAUCGGAAGGAACGCCGGUGGCGAAAGCGGCGUGCUGGACCUCUUCUGACGCUGAGGCGCGAAAGCUAGGGGAGCGAACGGGAUUAGAUACCCCGGUAGUCCUAGCCCUAAACGAUGGGUACUAGAUUGUGGACUUAACAUGGGUUCCCAAUCGAAGCUAAAGUGUUAAGUACCCCGCCUGGGGAGUAUGGUCGCAAGGCUG